This 292-nucleotide ribosomal RNA is filed under the name uncultured bacterium. Its description in RNAcentral is "partial 16S ribosomal RNA". It matches the Rfam family "Bacterial small subunit ribosomal RNA", at positions 505 to 796 of the family's 1533-position model. The record is from RNAcentral.
GUGUCAGCCGCCGCGGUAAUACGGAGGGUGCGAGCGUUGUCCGGAAUCACUGGGCGUAAAGGGCGCGUAGGCGGCCUGGUAAGUCACUUGUGAAAUCCCGGUGCUCAACGCCGGGGCCGCAGGUGAGACUGUCAGGCUAGAGCUUGGUAGAGGCGAGUGGAAUUCCCGGUGUAGCGGUGGAAUGCGUAGAUAUCGGGAAGAACACCGGUGGCGAAGGCGGCUCGCUGGGCCGAUGCUGACGCUGAGGCGCGAAAGCGUGGGGAGCAAACAGGAUUAGAAACCCGCGUAGUCC